This is a non-coding RNA of Schistosoma rodhaini, 48 nucleotides long. The record is from Rfam. Lineage: Eukaryota; Metazoa; Platyhelminthes; Trematoda; Strigeidida; Schistosomatidae.
AUCCAGCUGACGAGUCCCAAAUAGGACGAAACGCGCGUCAAACUAGAU